GUGACAAUAAAUACUGAUACAGGUGGUUAUAUGCCUCUUGUAAUUGGAAUGAGUACAAUUUAAAUCUCUUAACGAGGAACAAUUGGAGGGCAAGUCUGGUGCCAGCAGCCGCGGUAAUUCCAGCUCCAAUAGCGUAUAUUAAAGUUGUUGCAGUUAAAAAGCUCGUAGUUGAACCUUGGACCUGGCCGACUGGUCUGCCUCACCGCAUGCACUGGUUUGGCUGGGUCUUUCCUUCUGGCAAGCCGCAUGCUCUUCACUGGGUGUGUUGGGGAACCAGGACUUUUACUUUGAAAAAAUUAGAGUGUUCAAAGCAGGCAUUGGCUCGAAUACAUUAGCAUGGAAUAAUAGAAUAGGACGUGUGGUUCUAUUUUGUUGGUUUCUAGGACCACCGUAAUGAUUAAUAGGGAUAGUCGGGGG
This 417-nucleotide ribosomal RNA is filed under the name Peziza aff. brunneoatra. RNAcentral describes it as "SSU rRNA". It matches the Rfam family "Eukaryotic small subunit ribosomal RNA", at positions 467 to 888 of the family's 1831-position model. The record is from RNAcentral. Lineage: Eukaryota; Fungi; Ascomycota; Pezizomycetes; Pezizales; Pezizaceae.